RNAcentral lists this ribosomal RNA (653 nucleotides) under uncultured Arcobacter sp. RNAcentral's name for it is "bacterial SSU rRNA". It matches the Rfam family "Bacterial small subunit ribosomal RNA", at positions 73 to 749 of the family's 1533-position model. The record is from RNAcentral. Lineage: Bacteria; Pseudomonadati; Campylobacterota; Epsilonproteobacteria; Campylobacterales; Arcobacteraceae.
UUGCUAGUAUUGUCAGCUAAGUGGCGCACGGGUGAGUAAUAUAUAGUUAAUCUGCCCCAAAGAAGAGAAUAAUUGUUGGAAACGACUUGUAAUGCUCUAUAUGCCUUUAUUACAUAAGUAAGCAAGGGAAACAUUUAUGGCUUUGGGAUGAGACUGUACGGUAUCAGCUAGUUGGUGAGGUAAUGGCUCACCAAGGCUAUGACAUCUAACUGGUUUGAGAGGAUGAUCAGUCACACUGGAACUGAGACACGGUCCAGACUCCUACGGGAGGCGGCAGUGGGGAAUAUUGCACAAUGGAGGAAACUCUGAUGCAGCAACGCCGCGUGGAGGAUGACACAUUUCGGUGCGUAAACUCCUUUUAUAUGAGAAGAUAAUGACGGUAUCAUAUGAAUAAGCACCGGCUAACUCCGUGCCAGCAGCCGCGGUAAUACGGGGGGUGCAAGCGUUACUCGGAAUCACUGGGCGUAAAGAGCAUGUAGGCUGGUUUGUAAGUUGGAAGUGAAAUCCUAUGGCUUAACCAUAGAACCGCUUCCAAAACUGCAGACCUAGAAUAUGGGAGAGGUAGAUGGAAUUUCUGGUGUAGGGGUGAAAUCCGUAGAGAUCAGAAGAAUACCGAUUGCGAAGGCGAUCUACUGGAACAUUAUUGACGCUGA